AAUGAACGCUGGCGGCAGGCCUAACACAUGCAAGUCGAACGGUAACAGGAAGAAGCUUGCUUCUUUGCUGACGAGGGGCGGACGGGUGAGUAAUGUCUGGGAAACUUCCUGAUGGAGGGGGAUAACUACUGGAAACGGUAGCUAAUACCGCAUAACGUCGCAAGACCAAAGAGGGGGACCUUCGGGCCUCUUGCCUGGGGGUGUGCCCAGAUGGGAUUAGCUUGUAGGUGGGGUAACGGCUCACCUAGGCGACGAACCCUAGCUGGUCUGAGAGGAUGACCAGCCACACUGGAACUGAGACACGGUCCAGACUCCUACGGGAGGCAGCAGUGGGGAAUAUUGCACAAUGGGCGCAAGCCUGAUGCAGCCAUGCCGCGUGUAUGAAGAAGGCCUUCGGGUUUUAAAGUACUUUCAGCGGGGAGGAAGGGAGUAAAGUUAAUACCUUUGCUCAUUGACGUUACCCGCAGAAGAAGCACCGGCUAACUCCGUG
Molecule: ribosomal RNA, 490 nt
Filed under: uncultured bacterium
Lineage: Bacteria
Description: partial 16S ribosomal RNA
Rfam family: Bacterial small subunit ribosomal RNA
Source: RNAcentral